CUCUCCAAUGUUAUUAGGGUAUGUGUUUGGGUAUGACGGUGCUUUUUUUGUAGAUUCUGGACAAGAAAUAGACACAUAAAUUGUAGUAGAUUUCGGUCAUCAAUUGGGAGACUUCGAUUGCUGUCUAGUUGCAUUAGUUUCACGAAGUGGCUACGGGUACGGGCCCGUACUCGCAACUUGCUCCGGCUACGGGUACGGCAAACUGGUCACAUGAUGUGGCACGCUGGUCACAUGACACUCUCUCAAUUUGUCGGUACGUACACUGUACGUAUACGCAUAGCGUUGAGUCGGUAUGAAACGUGCCUUCAAUAUGGUUAAGCAGAUCUCAUAUCUUGGAUGGAGGAAAGUCUAGUUUUUCAACGAUUCUGCCUCAUGUCUACCAAUUGUAUAAGAAAGUCAAUCAUCUUGUUUAUCUGAUGGCUAAUCAAGGAAGUAUCAUCAAGUCCCACAAGAAUGGCCCUGUCUCCUCUGCUGCCAUGUACCCUAUUGUUGUAUAGCACAACAAGCUAGGUAGAAGAACCAGAAUAAGCAUCAGUCCUUAUUUCAACAUUUUAGAAAGAGGACGAAAGGCAAAAAACAACCAGAAGAGGUCGCAUAACUCUUCUAUCCUUUAGAAGACUGUAAGAGGACCAUACUUUACUCAUGCUGAAAGGAAUUUUUUGUGGUAAGCUGAUUAUUCUGUUCAAAGAGGGAAUUGAGUCGCAAAGUAUGAGGAACUAAUUCACAGUUCGGAAAUCAAUCAUCAAUGAGUGCUUCUUUAGAGGCUUCCUUAGAAGCAGUCGAAUUAGGACAAGAGGAAUGAUAUAUUUAUUGUCGAUUCUAUAUCUUCGUUAGGCGAGAAAGAGGUGACUACUUUAUAUUUGAAGAUUAGAGGUUGCUCUAUGUAUAGCAUAUGGUAGUUUGCUUUGAGACCUGUUGCUGGUUUUUUAAAGUAUGUUCUGUGUCUACGUUGAAGAUGCAUUACAAUAAAUGACAGA
Corticium candelabrum is the source of this 977-nucleotide long non-coding RNA. RefSeq lists it as uncharacterized. The record is from RefSeq and is a predicted model, not a curated record. Lineage: Eukaryota; Metazoa; Porifera; Homoscleromorpha; Homosclerophorida; Plakinidae. The transcript is spliced from 4 exons.